UGAAGUAUCCCCCACCAAAAAUUCACCCACUGUGCCUUUAAUAAUUCUUAACCCCAUCUGAAAUCAUUUAACGCAAGUUAAACGACUUUCUCAAGCAAGCAGCUGGUGCACGAUGGCGGUUCGAUUUUGUGAAGUUAUUUUAAUCUGUUUGUUGUUUGUAGCAUUUUUACCAAAAACAGGACAGAGUUAUGAGAGAUCAGCUCUAUGGGACUCGAUAACGAAAGGCGUCAGAAUUGAAAACAUACAAAUUGGUUGCGAAUUACAUUUGGGAUAUACUCUGCCAUCUUCUGGUGACUAUCUUCAUCCGAUCAGGGUAGAGAACUUCGAACAAAUCAUACACCUUGCCCAACUCGUGCCUGAAAUGAAGGUUCACUCCUGCGAGUGCUGUCCCGAGGAAAACGCCAGGAUUGGGAAUUGCGGUCUUUGCGUGGAGCAAUAAUACUGCAUGGGUCUUAUUUAACAAGGUCGGACAGAUGUCUACUCCACACACACUUAAUGUGUGAAGCAUAUGAAGUGUUUUUAAAGACCGAAUAUAGCAAUUUGUUGGAGGAAAGUUCAAACGAAAGACUAAGUGCAGAUGACAGUCUGACGACAUGCAAAGUCCAAGUAUUUUACUAAAUCAUGUUCACGUGAUAUUCACCAGCUGAGAGUUAGUGGUGACCCGUGAAUAUGGCAAUUAAAAAAAGGUGCUGUAACACGAAUUUAAAUAAAUGUUUAUAAGCAUCAUUUUCAAUAAGUUCUACGUAUCAAGUAACUCUUGUAUAAGAAUGCUUGGUUCAGUGGCCAUUACAAUAUCCGUAACAAUAAUUUCAUUAUUCGCGUUGCGCUCGAGAUCACGUGCUUAUACCGGCGAGACAUUUUGGAAACGUGAGUCGUUACUGUUCUGUUAUGUUGGAGGCGUGCAGCGAGGAUUUAACAUCGUAACGUUUAUGUUAUAAAUACCACUGAGCAUUCACACACACGAGAGCUAUUACACUUAUUUCUAGAACUCAUCCAUGUACCUCAACUGUUUGUUGUUAGUUAUAGUGGGAACUUUACUCAGCCCGUGAUGAAAGUGCAAUUCUGUGGAUUGUUUCUCUGCACCUUGCUCAGUUCAGCGCUGCCAUCACAAGCUGGAUCACCUAUUGAUAACUUGGCGCUGCCUGGAGUUCAAAAUUCAAAUGAACUAGCAGGUGGCAAUGAAUAUGUAGAUAAAAUCAACGUUCUACACGGUAGUUGUCCAGCUGGAACUGUCCUUGGUAUAUAUUUAGGAUAUACUCUGCCUUGCUCUGGUGACUAUCUUCAUCCGAUCAGGAAAGAAGACUUCGAAAAAAUCAUCAGCCUUGAAUAUCUCGUGCCCGAAAUGAAGGUUUACUCCUGCGAGUGUUGUCCCGAGGAAAAGGCCAGGAUUAGAGAUUGCGAUCUUUGCAUGGUGCAUUAAAACUGUAUGAGUUUUAUAUAACAAGUAGGCUAAUUAUACAUGUAUAUGAUCAAGAAUCCCUGAUUUGAUCAGAUAUCGAACAUUGACUUCAAUUAACAGAAUGGAAGUGUUUUGAGACAACAUUGAUUCAAUGUCAUUUCUGUGUUCAUUUUAAGAUUUUAAGACGCAUAGGCUGUAGGACCUAACUGCACAUAA
Molecule: unclassified non-coding RNA, 1615 nt
Filed under: Lingula anatina
Lineage: Eukaryota; Metazoa; Brachiopoda; Lingulata; Lingulida; Lingulidae
Description: uncharacterized LOC106168907, transcript variant X1
Source: RNAcentral